UAUAACGUAAUCUAUAUUAUAAAAUUAAAAAUAUAUGAAAUUAAAAUAUGUGUAAAUAGUAUGUUUUUUGUAACAAAGCAUAUAAAUUUAGGAAAUCAAGUUUUCAAAAUUAAAACACAAAUCUGACCCAUUUUAUCUCGUAAACAUUUAUAGAUAAAUGCAAUUAUUUUUAAAAUUAGCAAUCGAAAUAUUAACUUGAUGAUAAUUCGUCAUUCGAUGGUUGAAAUCACAAGAAUUUUUGCUGAAUUUUUCUAUCUCUUUUUUUCUUCUCUGAUAGCUCGGUAUUUACAAGUACUAUACUUCUCUCUCAUAAUAUAUGGAAGUAACUCGGAGCGUCACCUAACGUUGCAAAAUUAGUUCGCUUUUAGAUAGCGCACUGAGUAGAAUUUCACUACUAUUAUAAAUUAUUAUAAUUAUCAAGUUUAUAUAUUAUAUUUUCUUCUUUUGUUUUAUUUUGUCAAAAGCAAACUUUUUUUUACAUAACCUUUCUCGUUAAAACAAGAUGUAACAUGAAAUAUUAUAAUAUUUCAUGUAAUAUUUCGAAAAUAUUUUCAAAGAAAAAUUCGAAAACAAAAAAUCAAAUAUAUACAAAGUCAAAUCAACUGUCAAGACGAAUGAUUAAUAGAAUAAGUAGGUGACAUUGCUUGUGAAUGAUUAAAAUAUAGUCGAAUAUGUUUUUAUUUAGAAGAAGAUACUAAAAAUCAAUUAAUUAUUUUUGCUGGACAGCUAUGUAAGUAAAAGCAUAUUAAAAAAGUAGAAAAUAAAGAUUAUGUAUACAAUGUUCUGUGUUUGAGUAUGUGUAUACGAAUCACGUAGUAAUUUUUUUUCGAUAAGCGGUAAAAAAGUUAAAAUUUUUGAAAAUGUAUUUAAUUCCGUAAGGAUAUCGAUGAAGAAUAAUAUUUCAGAGAAUGAACAAUAAAAAUACAAAGAUCAAUGUACUAAAAGUCACACCAAUUCCGAAAUUGUAUUUAAUGAAAAUCUCUAAAACAAUGCAAUAUUAUAUAAUUAUGAAUUGAAUAUUGUAAUUAUAUUUGUCGCAUAGAAAUCGAUAAGAGUAAACAUUAGUGUGGAUCUUGAUUUAAAUAAAAAUUUAAAUCAGUUUGUGAGUGACAAAAUUCAAAUUGAACGAAGUAAUUCCGAUAAAAAUCGACAAAGAACAAAGAUAUGAGACAUAUCAAUUCUUGGAAAAACCUCAAAUUGAUGAAUAACGGAUUUACUAUAUACAGGAUAAGAAUAAUGAUAUACAAUAUUACAUGAUCUUUUGUGCAUUUUAUAGAAGAUAUAUUUAGCUUAAUAAGAAGGAUACAUAUUUACGUAUUUUUUAAAUAUUUUGAACUAUGAUGAUCAUCUGUAUUUUACCGUAUUAGCAUGUCAAUCAAAGAUAAAUUAUAAGAUUACUUUUGGCAGAUGCAGAUUCAGAAUUGAAAAACUUUUGUGGAAACAGUUUUUCAUUUGGCACAUAAGAUCAGCAAAAAAUCUUAUUGAUUCUUUAAUUUUUGCGGAAAAAAAUUAUCUUUUUCGAGAAAAAAAAGUAUCUGUCUUACUCUAAAAUUUCGAACAACAGAAUUAUAAAGGACAAAUGUGUUUACACAUAACUACUUCAAUGGAUUAAAUAUAACUCGUACGACUUUUGGUGUGUUGCGGAACAGAUCUUAAUGCCAGAGAAAGAUUGACAGGAUAUACGGAUUCUUUAUUUUUCAAUAGAAAAUAAUUGGUUAAUAGUUGCAUUUUUUCUUGAGAUUCUAUUUAAAUAUUAUGCCGGGAGCAAUUAACUUUGCUAUAUAAUAAUCAACUAGUAAGAAAAUUAGUAAAACUAACAGUAAUGCCGGAACUGUUUUCUGAAUCUGACAGCAGUGACGAAGAACUUUGCAACUAUUUUUGUAUCUUAAACAAAACUUGUGUGCAUUAAACUGGAGUAAAAUUUAUCAUUUCGUUUAUUAAUGUUUCAAAUUUGUUUG
Molecule: long non-coding RNA, 1958 nt
Filed under: Apis dorsata (giant honeybee)
Lineage: Eukaryota; Metazoa; Arthropoda; Insecta; Hymenoptera; Apidae
Description: uncharacterized LOC116186379
Source: RNAcentral